Molecule: ribosomal RNA, 253 nt
Filed under: uncultured bacterium
Lineage: Bacteria
Description: partial 16S ribosomal RNA
Rfam family: Bacterial small subunit ribosomal RNA
Source: RNAcentral
UACGUAGGGGGCAAGCGUUGUCCGGAUUUAUUGGGCGUAAAGAGCGUGUAGGCGGCCUGAAAGGUCAGCUGUGAAAACUCGAGGCUCAACCUCGAGACGUCGGUUGAAACCAUCUGGCUAGAGUCCGGAAGAGGAGUGUGGAAUUCCCGGUGUAGCGGUGAAAUGCGCAGAUAUCGGGAAGAACACCCGUGGCGAAGGCGGCAAUCUGGGACGGUACUGACGCUGAGGAACGAAAGCGUGGGGAGCGAACAGG